RNAcentral lists this ribosomal RNA (465 nucleotides) under uncultured bacterium. RNAcentral describes it as "partial 16S ribosomal RNA". It matches the Rfam family "Bacterial small subunit ribosomal RNA", at positions 28 to 507 of the family's 1533-position model. The record is from RNAcentral.
GACGAACGCUGGCGGCGUGCUUAACACAUGCAAGUCGAACGGAAAGGCCCUGCUUGCAGGGUACUCGAGUGGCGAACGGGUGAGUAACACGUGGGUGAUCUGCCCUGCACUUCGGGAUAAGCCUGGGAAACUGGGUCUAAUACCGGAUAGGAGCCAUUUUUAGUGUGAUGGUUGGAAAGUUUUUUCGGUGUAGGAUGAGCUCGCGGCCUAUCAGCUUGUUGGUGGGGUAAUGGCCUACCAAGGCGGCGACGGGUAGCCGGCCUGAGAGGGUGGACGGCCACAUUGGGACUGAGAUACGGCCCAGACUCCUACGGGAGGAAGCAGUGGGGAAUAUUGAACAAUGGGCGCAAGCCUGAUGCAGCGACGCCGCGUGGGGGAUGACGGCCUUCGGGUUGUAAACUCCUUUCGCUAGGGACGAAGCUUUUUGUGACGGUACCUAGAUAAGAAGCACCGGCUAACUACGUG